RNAcentral lists this ribosomal RNA (1438 nucleotides) under uncultured organism. RNAcentral describes it as "bacterial SSU rRNA". It matches the Rfam family "Bacterial small subunit ribosomal RNA". The record is from RNAcentral.
UUGAUCCUGGCUCAGGAUGAACGCUAGCGGCAGGCCUAACACAUGCAAGUCGAGGGGUAACGAUGGUGCUUGCACCAGGCGACGACCGGCGCACGGGUGAGUAACGCGUAUGCAACCUACCUUUAGCUGGAGGAUAGCCCGGGGAAACCCGGAUUAAUACUCCGUAAUAUCUUUUUGUCUCAUGACAUUUUGAUUAAAGCUCCGGCGGCUAUUGAUGGGCAUGCGUGCCAUUAGCUUGUUGGUGAGGUAACAGCUCACCAAGGCUACGAUGGCUAGGGGGUCUAAAAGGAUGAUCCCCCACACUGGUACUGAGACACGGACCAGACUCCUACGGGAGGCAGCAGUGAGGAAUAUUGGUCAAUGGGUGAUAGCCUGAACCAGCCAUGCCGCGUGCAGGAAGACAGCCCUAGUGGUUGUAAACUGCUUUUGUUCGGGAAGAAACCUCUCUACGUGUAGAGAGUUGACGGUACCGUUCGAAUAAGCAUCGGCUAACUCCGUGCCUGCAGCCGCGGUAAUACGGAGGAUGCAAGCGUUAUCCGGAUUUAUUAGGUUUAAAGGGUGCGUAGGCGGAAUUGUAAGUCAGAGGUGAAAUCCUGCGGCUUAACCGUAGAACUGCCUUUGAUACUACAGUUCUUGAGUACAGACGAAGUAGGCGGAAUGUGUAAUGUAGCGGUGAAAUGCAUAGAUAUUACACAGAACACCAAUUGCGUAAGCAGCUUACUAGACUGUCACUGACGCUGAUGCACGAAAGCGUGGGGAGCGAACAGGAUUAGAUACCCUGGUAGUCCACGCCGUAAACCAUGAUCACUCGUUGUUGGCGAUAAACUGUCAGCGACUGAGCGAAAGCAUUAAGUGAUCCACCUGGGGAGUACGUUCGCAAGAAUGAAACUCAAAGGAAUUGACGGGGGCCCGCACAAGCGGAGGAACAUGUGGUUUAAUUCGAGGAUACGCGAGGAACCUUACCUGGGCUCAAAUGCAGAACGACCGAUCAGGAAACUGAUCUUUCUUUUAGACGGUCUGCAAGGUGCUGCAUGGCUGUCGUCAGCUCGUGCCGUGAGGUGUCGGGUUAAGUCCCAUAACGAGCGCAACCCUUAUCAUUAGUUGCCAGCGGAUAAUGCCGGGGACUCUAAUGAGACUGCCACCGUAAGGUGUGAGGAAGGUGGGGAUGACGUCAAGUCAGCACGGCCCUUACGUCCAGGGCUACACACGUGUUACAAUGGCCGGUACAAAGGGCAGCUACACAGCGAUGUGAUGCUAAUCUCGAAAACCGGUCUCAGUUCGGAUCGAAGUCUGCAAUUCGACUUCGUGAAGUUGGAUUCGCUAGUAAUCGCGCAUCAGCCACGGCGCGGUGAUACGUUCCCGGGCCUUGUACACACCGCCCGUCAAGCCAUGGAAGCCGGGGGUACCUGAAGUCCGUAACCGAAAGGAUCGGCCUAGG